GCCUGGCCCUAAAUCUUGAUGCUCGAUCUUACCGGAGCAUCCGCCCGAGAACUACGAGCACAAACGCUUAAAACUCUAAGGACUUGGCGGUGCUCCAAACCCACCUAGAGGAGCCUGUUCUAUAACUCGAUGAUCCACGAUAUACCUGACCAUUCCUUGCCAGAACAGCCUAUAUACCGCCGUCGCCAGCCCACCCCGCAUGAAGGCCCAACAGUGGACGCAAUAGCCUCACCCCGCUAACAAGACAGGUCAAGGUAUAGCCUAUGGAAUGGAAGCAAUGGGCUACAUUUUCUAGACUAGAACACAACGGCAAAGGGACUUGAAAUUGUCCCUGGAAGGCGGAUUUAGCAGUAAAGAGAGACAAUCGAGCCCUCUU
This 376-nucleotide ribosomal RNA is filed under the name Phylloscopus occisinensis. RNAcentral's name for it is "partial 12S ribosomal RNA". It matches the Rfam family "Bacterial small subunit ribosomal RNA", at positions 794 to 1363 of the family's 1533-position model. The record is from RNAcentral. Lineage: Eukaryota; Metazoa; Chordata; Aves; Passeriformes; Phylloscopidae.